RNAcentral lists this ribosomal RNA (424 nucleotides) under uncultured bacterium. RNAcentral's name for it is "bacterial SSU rRNA". It matches the Rfam family "Bacterial small subunit ribosomal RNA", at positions 355 to 776 of the family's 1533-position model. The record is from RNAcentral.
UGGGGAAUUUUGGACAAUGGGGGCAACCCUGAUCCAGCAACGCCGCGUGAAGGAUGAAGGCCUUCGGGUCGUAAACUUCUUUUGCAGGGGACGAAUCUGUCCGUGAAUAACGGAUCAUGACGGUACCCUGCGAAUAAGCCACGGCUAACUACGUGCCAGCAGCCGCGGUAAUACGUAGGUGGCAAGCGUUACUCGGAAUUACUAGGCGUAAAGCGCAGGUAGGUGGUUUGAUAAGUCCGUAAUGAAAUCUCCCGGCUUAACUGGGAGGGGUUUAGGGAUACUGUCAGGCUUGAGUGUGGGAGAGGUCGCUGGAAUUCCUGGUGUAGCGGUGAAAUGCGUAGAGAUCAGGAGGAACACCUAUGGCGAAAGCAGGCGACUGGCCCAAUACUGACACUGAGCUGCGAAAGCUAGGGGAGCAAACAGG